CUCUUCGAUAGCUUCUAUGUUUCUUCUAUAGGCUAGUGUUGGACUGUCCUCUUGGCGUAUGUGUCUGUUUGUCACAUCCCCUCUGGAAGUCUAUGGAGAGAAGCUGUUCAACUUGGAUGUUAUCCUCACGCGACUCUGGAUUUAGUUACGUACUGUGAGACGUACACGCGGACCCCCAGAGGCCAGACGGUGAAUGUUGACUUUACGACAAGAAUAGUCGAAAACACCAGACUUUACCCGAUUUGAAUGCCUGUGCAAGGAUUUUGUUGGUUUCUGUGCUGCAGGCAGGGUUUCAAUUUGCUCGGACGGGACUAUGGGGAGAAAGAGGAGGAAGAAUCUUUUGAGUUGCGCAACAAGGAGGAUCUGACCUGCAACGGACGUGGUCCACUUGAGGUGACUCUCUCUCAGCCGACUCGCACAGCCAAUGGGACAAACGGACACAGUCUGUCAGAGGUUCCUGAUGAGAUAAAGAGUCUGAUCAUAGAGAAGAGCAAGAUGGGCCUGGAAGAAGACCCCGAGCUGCUGGUCAAAGGUGAGCCUGCCUGCCUGGCUGACACACUUCUACACCAUCCCUCUAUUCUCUCUCUGCUUUCUCUCUGUCUGGCUGUUGUGUUCCAGUUCCAGUGGUUUGCAUGUACAGUAAUAGCAGUCUGUGUGACGGUGACGUUCACUCAUCCGAGAGCAUUAACCGAGCUUUGGGUCCCGUGCAUGUUUGCGGCGUUAUCGCUGAAUAAGUAGACCACACUGUACUACUG
Molecule: long non-coding RNA, 755 nt
Filed under: Salmo salar (Atlantic salmon)
Lineage: Eukaryota; Metazoa; Chordata; Actinopteri; Salmoniformes; Salmonidae
Description: lncRNA (ENSSSAG00000117073.1, ENSSSAG00020080470.1, ENSSSAG00075066915.1)
Source: RNAcentral